UUAAAAAGCUCGUAGUCGGAUUUGGCUGAGAACGGUCGGUCCGCCGUUAGGUGUUGCACUGACUGGUCUCAGCUUCCUGGUGAGGAGGUGUGCUUCAUCGCCACUUAGUCACCGUGGUUACUUUGAAAAAAUUAGAGUGUUCAAAGCGGGCUUACGCUUGAAUAUAUUAGCAUGGAAUAACACCAUAGGACUCCUGUCCUAUUUCGUUGGUCUCGGGACGGGAGUAAUGAUUAAGAGGAACAGUUGGGGGCAUUCGUAUUUCAUUGUCAGAGGUGAAAUUCUUGGAUUUAUGAAAGACGAACUUCUGCGAAAGCAUUUGC
Molecule: ribosomal RNA, 320 nt
Filed under: uncultured marine eukaryote
Lineage: Eukaryota
Description: SSU rRNA
Rfam family: Eukaryotic small subunit ribosomal RNA
Source: RNAcentral